CAAAAGGCCCUUUUCAGGGCCACCCACGAACUCAUUCAAAGGGUUG
Rattus norvegicus (Norway rat) is the source of this 46-nucleotide non-coding RNA. Lineage: Eukaryota; Metazoa; Chordata; Mammalia; Rodentia; Muridae. The record is from Rfam.